GACGAACGCUGGCGGCGUGCUUAACACAUGCAAGUCGAGCGGUAAGGCCCUUUCGGGGGUACACGAGCGGCGAACGGGUGAGUAACACGUGGGUGACCUGCCCUCAGCUCUGGGAUAAGCCUGGGAAACCGGGUCUAAUACUGGAUAUGACUCCAUGACGCAUGUUGUGGGGUGGAAAGCCUUGUGCGGCUGAGGAUGGGCCCGCGGCCUAUCAGCUUGUUGGUGGGGGA
Molecule: ribosomal RNA, 230 nt
Filed under: uncultured bacterium
Lineage: Bacteria
Description: partial 16S ribosomal RNA
Rfam family: Bacterial small subunit ribosomal RNA
Source: RNAcentral